CCUACGGGUGGCAGCAGUAGGGAAUCUUCCGCAAUGGGCGCAAGCCUGACGGAGCAACGCCGCGUGAGUGAUGAAGGCCUUCGGGUUGUAAAACUCUGUCUUCUGUGAAGAGCCAUCCUGUGCAGAGAAAGCUCAGGACCUGACGGUAACAGAGGAGGAAGCCCCGGCUAACUACGUGCCAGCAGCCGCGGUAAUACGUAGGGGGCAAGCGUUGUCCAGGUGCACGGGGCGUAAAGCGCGCGCAGGCGGUGAAAGCCCAGAGCUCAACUCUGGGAUUGCCUUGGAUACGGGGAGACUGGAGGAUCGGAGAGGCAAGGGGAAUUCCACGUGUAGCGGUGAAAUGCGUAGAGAUGUGGAGGAACACCUGUGGCGAAGGCGCCUUGCUGGCCGAUUUCUGACGCUGAGGCGCGAAAGCGUGGGGAGCAAACAGGAUUAGAUACCCUGGUAGUC
RNAcentral lists this ribosomal RNA (450 nucleotides) under uncultured bacterium. RNAcentral's name for it is "partial 16S ribosomal RNA". It matches the Rfam family "Bacterial small subunit ribosomal RNA", at positions 338 to 795 of the family's 1533-position model. The record is from RNAcentral.